This 253-nucleotide ribosomal RNA is filed under the name uncultured bacterium. Its description in RNAcentral is "partial 16S ribosomal RNA". It matches the Rfam family "Bacterial small subunit ribosomal RNA", at positions 524 to 776 of the family's 1533-position model. The record is from RNAcentral.
UACGUAGGGUGCAAGCGUUAAUCGGAAUUACUGGGCGUAAAGCGUGCGCAGGCGGUUGUUUAAGUCUGUCGUGAAAUCCCCGGGCUCAACCUGGGAAUUGCGAUGGAGACUGCACGGCUAGAGUGUGUCAGAGGGGGGUAGAAUUCCACGUGUAGCAGUGAAAUGCGUAGAUAUGUGGAGGAACACCGAUGGCGAAGGCAGCCCCCUGGGAUAACACUGACGCUCAUGCACGAAAGCGUGGGGAGCAAACAGG